UGAGACGAAGGUUGAGGGUUGAGGUGAGCAUUUACCGGAAUGAUGACAUUCGAAAUUCAGUUGAAGCAAAGUGGAACUAGAAAAUGCUAUGACCUAUAGAGGAACCUUCCGCCAAACCGGCAAAUCCUGUAUCAACAGUGAUGGGUAAAAUGGUAAAACCUACAGGAACCCGUGCCAAUUCGAGCUCGCUGAGUUUCUCGUCCGCAAAUGUGACGCUGACGGUAAAUCAAUGUUAAUUAGAAAUUUGCCAGCCAAUUGCAUAUUUUUGCGUAAUAUUAAC
Molecule: long non-coding RNA, 280 nt
Organism: Daphnia pulex (common water flea)
Lineage: Eukaryota; Metazoa; Arthropoda; Branchiopoda; Diplostraca; Daphniidae
Exons: 3
Source: RefSeq, a predicted model, not a curated record